CUGCCUUGCUAAGGUGUGGCCACCAGCUGAGCUAUUUGGUCUUUGUCUUAUAACUCCCUUUUAGGUGGGAUUUGCCCAUUUUGGUGGUUUUCCUCCCCCCACCAGCUUCUACAUUGUCUCACCUUGGGAUUUAAGGUUCUUUUCCUUCUUUCUGUGUGUCCAUUGGAGUCAGAUCCCUGUGACUGCCAGAUGCAUACUACAGGGAAGCUGCCAGAAGUGAGGCACAGGCCCCAAAGGCUUCUUUGAGGUGCUGUAAUUGUGCAGCAGCAGUGUGCUGUGUGUGCAGCAGGUUGGUUACUUGGCUUUUUCCCCCCACUUAGGUGUCAUUCUUCCUUCAGCAAGCCCUACAGUUUGCUGGUUGAUGUUAGCCAUGCAGCAAAUGGGUGGGAAUGACAGGCAUUCAAGUUGAGGAAACUCUCCAGGAUAUUAGCAAAGCAUGAUUUCAUCCACAGCACUUAACCAAGUGUUCUUGGUUUUAGUCAGAAGCACUGCUGGGCAAAAGGGCACAUUGCCUUUGGUUUCCUGACAUGCUGGCUCUUUCUGAGUGUUCAGCUUGGCAUACAGGGUGAAUGGGCUUGGUGCCUGUUCUGUGUUACUCUGGGAUCCUUUGAGCUGUGGGUUAUGGACUGCAAGGGGGUUUUGUGCUGCUUUGGGGCAGAGGAGAACUUUCUGGGCUGUUCUUUUGCAUUAGCUGUAGGGUAGGUUUGGUUGCCAUGCAUGAACUCACAGAGCAAGCCAGAGCAGCUGCUAUUGUGAUGUCAGCAGAGGGCUGCCAUGUCACAGUGUUGUCAGCAGGAGGUUUUCCUGGUGCCCGCAAGGCCUCAGCGUCCAGAGCAGCUCUUGGCGUGCUCCUUGCAGGAGGAUCACCUCGUCUGAGCUGUUCUCAGAUUACGGCCAGUGUUCCUUUUUCUCUGUAUUUUCUUGCACAGUCCUUGGACUGGUGCAAGUGUCCCGUUUUUCCCCUUUUUACUUGCACAGUCUCAGGACUUGUGCAAGUGUCCCGUUUUUCCCCUUUUUACUUGCACAGUCUCAGGACUUGUGCAAGUGUCCUGUUUUACCCCUUUUUUACUUGCACAGUCUCAGGACUUGUGCAAGUGGGGUUUUUUUUCCAUUUGUGUUUCCUGGCCUACGGACUCGAGCAGCCCUGCUCAAAGGAUGGAGCGAGUCCGUAGAGCAGUCAGCAGCACCUUUUCAUUGGCGGCUUCUCGGAAAGCUUUUCUUCGUUUGGCUGCUCGCCUCAGAGGUGGAAGGAGUCAAGCGCACGCUUCGGUCCCGCUAGGAGAGGAUCUUGCCAGUCAGGACUCCUGGGCCCAGACAGGAAAGGCGGAGCGGCAGGAGAGCACGGACAGAGUGCACGGCGCCCAGGAGUUCAGGUCAGAGAAGGAGAGCCUGCAAAGCAGCCUGCUGGAGGCUGAGCAGCACAUAUGGGAGCUGGAGAUGGCCAGGAGCCGUGUGGAAGCCCAAGUGCACAGGGCCAGGCAGGCCAAGGAGGCGAUACUGGAGGAUGUGAGGGGCCUUCGUUGUGAGCUGCUGGCUGUAAGAGCUCUCAGCCAGCAGCAAUGUGAAGACAUGGCUGAACAGCUCCACUGGGCACAAGAGCAGUGCUGCAAGGCUCUGAGACUCUGGCAAUCUGCCCAGGAAGAGGAAAAAAGGAAUCUCAUGAGAGAACUGGAGAGACAACUGGAAGAGCAGCAUGUGGAGGCACGGAAGCAGCUGGAGGAACGGGCAAACUUCCUGGCAGAGGUGCUGCAGGAAGAGCAGCGUCAGAAGGCUGCUGUCAUCCACAGGGUGUACCAGCUAAAAAGAGAGCUAAAGCAUUGUGAGCAGCUGAGGCAGAAGUUGAAUGAGCAGUGGCAGAAUGAGCAGGUCAUGCUGCAGGCUGAGCUGCAGGAAGCUGAGAGGAAGAUGAUGGCAAUGGAGAAGAGGCACCAAGAGGAAAUGGAAAGGAUGCACAAGGUCCUGCUGCAGUGCAGGCUGGCUGAAGAAAAGCAGGUGGACGCAGGAUCUGCCAUUGAAGCUGCUGGUGCAGCAGCAUCCUGCCAAGAAGCCUCCUCUCCACAGCCUGAAAACCAGAGCAUGAGCAGCUCGGCCCGCUCAAGCCAGGAGAGAGAGAAGCAGUUCCUGAAGCUGCUGAGGUGUGUGGUGAGUGUGGAAGAUCCAGAAAAGAAGUACACUGGAUGGGAACACCUUGGCAGUGGGGGCUUUGGAGCUGUUUAUAAGGCCUUUGACACUGCCACAGGACAAGCGGUGGCUGUAAAGGAACUUUAUCUCCAGCACCAGGGCUGUGAGGGAGUAUUAAAAGAAAUCCUGCUCAUGAGAGAAAAUAAGAACGCCAAUAUUGUCAGCUACUUAGAAAGCUACCUUGUGGAUGAGGCUGUCCUGCUGGUGUUGGAAUAUAUGGAUGGAGGCUCCUUAGCUGAUGUGGUCACCGUGAGAAGGAUGGCUGUAGGACACAUAGCAACAGUGUGUCGGGAGUGCCUGCAAGGCCUGGCUUUCCUUCAUGCCAAGCAGGUGAUCCACAGAGACAUCAAAAGUGACAACAUCCUUCUGGGCCGGGACGGCUCCGUCAAGCUGGCUGAUUUUGGCCUCUGUGCUGUGCUCAGCCCUGAGCACAGGAAACGGAGGUCGAUGGUCGGGACCACUUACUGGAUGGCACCCGAGGUGGUGAGAAGAGAGCCUUACGGCCCCAAAGUGGACACCUGGUCCCUUGGCAUUGCGGGAAUAGAAAUGGCCACAGGAGAGGCUCCUUAUAUGCAGGAGACCAGUGACAAGGCCAGCUACCUGAUAGGCAAGCAAGGGGUUCCAAAUCUGCAGCAGCUCAGGCUACCCCCUGGCUUGUGUGAAUUUCUGGGCUGCUGCCUGCAGAUGGAUGUGGACAGGCGAGGCUCUGCCAAGGAACUUCUGCAGCAUCCAUUUCUGCAAUCAGCGGAGCCUCUCUUAAGCCUCUUCUGACAGCCUGAUUGCUGCCAUCCCUGCAGCAAGGGAAUGCAAGAAGCAAAGGAGAUGACAAGGGUGAGGGAAGGCGUGCGUGGGGACCAAAGCAAGUUUUGCAAGCGACCACUGGACCGAGAAGACAAUGGUUCCUGCCUACGACAUCUGCUGCUGACGACGCCUGUUCCUGAUGGACUACUGAUGGACUCCUUGUACCCUUUAUCAAUAGACUAUUUUGAAAUGGGUCCCCUUCCCCCAUUUCAAAAGGACUAUAAAAAGGUUUAGAGCUGACUGAUACCUUUGAGAUCUCCCCUGACGUGAAGACGACAGGCGUCUUCGUCGACCGGACUUCGAGGGACUUUGUCAUCUGCACGUCUGGUAGCUAUAUACCUCCUUGCCCUCCCUCUCUUCUUUUUCUUUUCCUUACUCUUUCCCCUUUCUUCAUUCCCCUUCUCUCUAACCCAUCUUUUCUAUGACUAUUUAAUAAAAGUACAUGUAUUUUGAUUUUACUGCAAAUCCCCUUGUCGUGUCAGUUUUUGCACCCUGAGAUCAGUGAAAAAGAACCUACACGAAUCACGUCCUUAGGACAGAUCGUGUCAGCUAUGAAGGACAAUACCAGUGUAAUAAAUAGGGCAGGAGAUCUUUCUCCUUUUUAAUGUCUUUAUUUAAAAAAUUCAGCUCACGUUGGGGAGAAAUGACAGGUCACCCGCACCCCCGCUGCUCCCAGGAGUGGCACGGAGGAGGAGGAUGA
RNA transcript from Passer domesticus (house sparrow), 3682 nucleotides. It is a transcript of the gene named serine/threonine-protein kinase PAK 3-like, with no coding region annotated. NCBI's taxonomy places the organism in Eukaryota, Metazoa, Chordata, Aves, Passeriformes, Passeridae. The record is from RefSeq and is a predicted model, not a curated record. The transcript is spliced from 18 exons.